This 575-nucleotide ribosomal RNA is filed under the name uncultured bacterium. Its description in RNAcentral is "partial 16S ribosomal RNA". It matches the Rfam family "Bacterial small subunit ribosomal RNA", at positions 355 to 923 of the family's 1533-position model. The record is from RNAcentral.
UGGGGAAUUUUGGACAAUGGGGGAAACCCUGAUCCAGCCAUCCCGCGUGUGCGAUGAAGGCCUUCGGGUUGUAAAGCACUUUUGGCAGGAAAGAAACGUCGCGGGUUAAUACCCCGCGAAACUGACGGUACCUGCAGAAUAAGCACCGGCUAACUACGUGCCAGCAGCCGCGGUAAUACGUAGGGUGCAAGCGUUAAUCGGAAUUACUGGGCGUAAAGCGUGCGCAGGCGGUUCGGAAAGAAAGAUGUGAAAUCCCAGAGCUUAACUUUGGAACUGCAUUUUUAACUACCGGGCUAGAGUGUGUCAGAGGGAGGUGGAAUUCCGCGUGUAGCAGUGAAAUGCGUAGAUAUGCGGAGGAACACCGAUGGCGAAGGCAGCCUCCUGGGAUAACACUGACGCUCAUGCACGAAAGCGUGGGGAGCAAACAGGAUUAGAUACCCUGGUAGUCCACGCCCUAAACGAUGUCAACUAGCUGUUGGGGCCUUCGGGCCUUGGUAGCGCAGCUAACGCGUGAAGUUGACCGCCUGGGGAGUACGGUCGCAAGAUUAAAACUUAAAUGAAUUGACGGGGGUCAU